UACAGAGGGUGCAAGCGUUGUUCGGAAUUAUUGGGCGUAAAGCGCGUGUAGGCGGCUUAGCAAGUCGGGCGUGAAAGCCCUCGGCUCAACCGAGGAAGUGCACCCGAAACUGCUGAGCUUGAGUACGAAAGAGGAUCGCGGAAUUCCCGGUGUAGAGGUGAAAUUCGUAGAUAUCGGGAGGAACACCAGUGGCGAAGGCGGCGAUCUGGGUCGAUACUGACGCUGUGGUGCGAAAGCGUGGGGAGCAAACAGG
Molecule: ribosomal RNA, 253 nt
Filed under: uncultured bacterium
Lineage: Bacteria
Description: partial 16S ribosomal RNA
Rfam family: Bacterial small subunit ribosomal RNA
Source: RNAcentral